Molecule: long non-coding RNA, 693 nt
Organism: Drosophila biarmipes
Lineage: Eukaryota; Metazoa; Arthropoda; Insecta; Diptera; Drosophilidae
Exons: 2
Source: RefSeq, a predicted model, not a curated record
GUGGAAUCCACAAACAAUUCACAUAAUCUAACACGCAUAUGUAUAAUGCAGAGCAGAAAUACUAUAUACCUGGAGAUAAUCGCUCUUUGUAUAGGGACGCCGAUAGGGAGAUUCGUUGACUUCCUUCAGUCCAGCAUACAUUGCCGGUCGAAAUGGACGUAUCUUUUUUUGUGACCAGUUUGAUUGUUCUCCUGCUGUGCGUGGAAUAUCUAUUGGCCCAAUCCUCCACGGAAAGCACGUAUUUUGACCAGACUAAGGCUAAUUCUGACCCUGAGAAUGCAACUGAUCAGACCGCAGUUGGAGGAUGUAAUAAUCCCUUUUGCAGAUCGGGAUAAUUGUGAGCUUUGAAAGGGCUCUUUUUGUGAAUUUGACCUUUUAAACUAUAUUUGCUUGUCAGAGAGUACCCAUAAAUGCCAGUCUUGAUUAUUUCGUCGCUCGCCAUGGACCUUUUAUUUCUUGUGACCUAUUCGAUCGUGUUCCUGCUGUGCGUGGGACACCUUUUGGCUCAACCCACCGAGAAAACACUGGAUUUCAACAUCACGAGAAUGGAUCUUACCCCUGAGAAUGGCACCUUUCAUGGCGUUUUCUCUAUUUGUAGUCAUCCCUUCGGAUGUUAAAUAUUAUAUCAGAACCCAACCGUAAUUUGAUUUUUAUUUUUAUGAAAUAAAAGUGGAAUCUACGUGGCCCCGUGAA